UCAUCCAAUAUAAAUUGUGGAACCUGAGUAGUCUUUCCAGAGCUUGUUUCCCCACACACAACAAGAAAAUUGUUCUCCUUUAGCAUUUGCAAAAUAUCAACCUUCAAUCCAGCAAUUGGAAGAGCAGUUCUAGUUUUCAACAUUUCCUUGUAUUUCUGCAUUUUCUUUUUCUUCUCUUGCUCCUGUCUCAAAUGAGAACUUUCCACAUUCCUGGUAUAGUUUUCUCCUCCUGCUGC
RNAcentral lists this unclassified non-coding RNA (236 nucleotides) under Hevea brasiliensis (rubber tree). Lineage: Eukaryota; Viridiplantae; Streptophyta; Magnoliopsida; Malpighiales; Euphorbiaceae. The record is from RNAcentral.